AUAUUCGAUGAGACGUAAAUAUAACAACGAAAUGCGUAGCCUGUUUUUUUCUUUAAUUCGGUCUGCGCUUUCUCAAGAGAAAUCCAAAAACUUUUUAAUAGUUUGCGAAUUGAUACAUCUUAGUAGCAAUCCUUAAAAUCAAAAGAGAAAAUGAGAGUAAUGGCGAAUGAAAUCUUUGACAAUGUUAUCCGCUGCUUUUUAAAAACAAAAGACUACAGUAUAGGGGUAGUUUGUCCCGUAGUUUUACACGCAGCGUUAGAAUGUUAUGUAUGAUAUUAUAUAACUUUGUAAGAUUAAUUACAACUUUUAAAAAUAUAUUACUGAUAGUGAACUAGUACUGUGAAGGAAAGUUGCCUCUAUGGGAGGAAUAGAAACUAAAUGCAAUUAAAAUAAUCUUUUUCACAAGAAAGGUGUACUUUUUGCAUUACGGUUCGACUAGUUGGAUUAAAUGGCAAGCUUAAUGUAUGUAAGUAUUAAAGGCGAAGAAAACACGAAAUAGUCAUUUGUUUCAGACACGAAACCACUGUGAUCUAUUCAAGUUCUGAUUGAAUGUCUAGUAUAAAUAGGCAGGAGGAUCUAACCGGUGUUUGUUGCAAAAAACUCGGAUGACACUUGAAUAGGGGUGAAAGGCUAAUCAAACGUGGCGAUAGCUUGUUUUCCGCGAAACUCCUUUUAGGGAGGCUAUUAAAUUAUUGGGCUGCUGGGUAAAGCACUUAUUCGACUGAGGUUGCGUAACUGCAUGACGAGGUCGAUUAAAACUCUGAAUACGUAGUCCUGUUUAGUAAGUCAGACUAUUGGCCAAAAAGUCAAUAAGUCAAAAGGGUAACAACCCAUGGGAAUGCUUUCUAAGGGUUUUUAGUAAAGAACUAAUUAAAAGGAUAUCGGCACUUAAAACUUUGUUUAAGUUAGCUUAGAAACAGCUAUCGAUUUAAGAAAACGUAACAGUUCAGAUGUUUAUUAUUUGUCGCUACCGAAAAUAUAGUGAAUUUAAGAACUCCCCGAAGAAGCAUAACAAAGUACACAAUGUACUUUGUUGGUAGCGGAACAUUCUGAAAAAUACAUUUCUCAAUUCGUGAGAACUGAGAAAUUACACAGAAGAGAUAAUGUCGAAAUGAGUAGCGAAAAAAGAAUAUAUAAUCUUUCACUAAGCACCUAAGGUUUUCCACGUAACAUUACUUUCGUGAAGUUAUUCGAGCUCUUAUUCAUAGAUGAAAAUUUUAAUGAAGAUGAGAAAGUGUUGUACCGCUAAUAACAGUUCUAAGACAAAAACUACGAGUUUUUAAAAAGGUGUGGGUUACUUUCUUCUACGAGUAGUUUUUCUGGAAAACUCCUGUAAUUAGUACACGGGCCAACUACGAUUCGUACUUAAACCAAAAAAGGUAGGUGUGUUUAAUAUGGUGUAGAAUUAAAGGAAGGUAUGGAACUCGGCAAAUUUUUCCUGUAACUUCGGGAUAAAGGAAGACAAGUCAUGUUACAUGGCUUGUUGUAAUCAAAAUGAAACUUGCGACUAGUUACUAAAACUACAGAACUAUGCAGCAACUCUGAAAGAGUAAGUAUAUGGUUUGAUUAGUGCUCAAUGCUCAGAAAAUAAUAACAGACGAUGUUAAGUCGUUUCACAACUUCGAGUCAAUAGCGGCUUUACUCUGAGAGUCGUAAUGUAGCGAAAUUCCUUGGCCGAUAAAUACGGUCCCGCAUGAAUCUAAUAACGACACGUUUACUGUCAUGCCUUUCUGUUUAGCGAAAUUAAAAUGGGUGUGCAGAUGCAUUCUUACUGAACUAAGACGAAAAGACCCUAUUGACCUUUACUAUAAAUUGUCAUUGCAGACGUGUAACAUAUGAUCAGAAUAGGUAGUAGCUUAUAAAACUCUGGUGGUUGUUUCCGCUCGAGUGAAGCGCUCGUGAGAUACUAUCCUUAAGUUUCGCCGACAGCUGUACUUUAAGGACAGUGACAAUCUGGUAGUUUGUUUGGGGCGAAAUUCUUCUAAAAGGUAACGAAGAAGUACAAAAGGUGAACUCCGGUAAAAAUUUUUAUCAUAGAGUGUAAGAAUAAAUGUUCGCUUGAUUGUAAGACGGAUGAGUCGAGCAAAGACGUAAGUCGGUUCUAGUGAUCUAACUUCGCUGAUUAAAAAGGGAGUUACUCAUCAGAUAAAAGGUACCCUAGGGAUAACAGAAUUAUAAAAAUCGAGCGAUCAUAGCGACAUUUUUGUUUGUGACCUCGAUGUCGGCUUAUGGCAACCUUGAGGUGAAAAAGCUUCAAAGGGUUUGACUGUUCGUCAAAGAAUGCCGUACAUGAGCUGGGUUUAAAACGAUGUGAAUCAGUUUGGUUUCUAUCUAGUUCAGGCUAAAAAACUUAGGAAUCCUUACCUUAGUAUGAGAAGAAUGGGUAAGAAAAGCCUAUUGUAAUCAAGGGUUCAACCAUGAGCAUUUUGAUUGGCAACGCUUUUGGAAGAAAAGAUGAAAGCAUCUAUAGUCUUGUAGUCCCUUCCUAGACAAGUUUAAAGUAUUAUUUUCAAUACAAAAUCUUUAGGGUUUUAGAUGAAAACCUUUUCGGGCUGUUGGUAUUAUCCCCGUGAGGGGUUUUGAACUUAGCGCCGCGAAUUUU
Molecule: ribosomal RNA, 2602 nt
Filed under: Scyphosphaera apsteinii
Lineage: Eukaryota; Haptophyta; Coccosphaerales; Pontosphaeraceae
Description: partial Bacterial large subunit ribosomal RNA
Rfam family: Bacterial large subunit ribosomal RNA
Source: RNAcentral